Molecule: ribosomal RNA, 468 nt
Filed under: uncultured bacterium
Lineage: Bacteria
Description: partial 16S ribosomal RNA
Rfam family: Bacterial small subunit ribosomal RNA
Source: RNAcentral
GACGAACGCUGGCGGCGUGCUUAACACAUGCAAGUCGAACGGAAAGGCCCUGCUUUUGUGGGGUGCUCGAGUGGCGAACGGGUGAGUAACACGUGAGUAACCUGCCCUUGACUUUGGGAUAACUUCAGGAAACUGGGGCUAAUACCGGAUAUGAGCUCCUGCUGCAUGGUGGGGGUUGGAAAGUUUCGGCGGUUGGGGAUGGACUCGCGGCUUAUCAGCUUGUUUGUGGGGUAGUGGCUUACCAAGGCUUUGACGGGUAGCCGGCCUGAGAGGGUGACCGGCCACAUUGGGACUGAGAUACGGCCCAGACUCCUACGGGAGGCAGCAGUGGGGAAUAUUGCACAAUGGGCGGAAGCCUGAUGCAGCAACGCCGCGUGCGGGAUGACGGCCUUCGGGUUGUAAACCGCUUUCGCCUGUGACGAAGCGUGAGUGACGGUAAUGGGUAAAGAAGCACCGGCUAACUACGUG